UGGGGGUGCAGGUGGGGGGCUUAAGUCCAAGGGGUGUCUUCACUCCCCCCCACUGUGCCCCCAGG
This is a microRNA precursor of Gallus gallus (chicken), 65 nucleotides long. NCBI's taxonomy places the organism in Eukaryota, Metazoa, Chordata, Aves, Galliformes, Phasianidae. The record is from Ensembl.